RNAcentral lists this transfer RNA (77 nucleotides) under Chloroflexota bacterium. Its description in RNAcentral is "tRNA-Tyr". It matches the Rfam family "tRNA". Rfam says of the family: Transfer RNA (tRNA) molecules are approximately 80 nucleotides in length. Their secondary structure includes four short double-helical elements and three loops (D, anti-codon, and T loops). RNAcentral also lists the same sequence under 2 other names. The record is from RNAcentral. Lineage: Bacteria; Bacillati; Chloroflexota.
CCCAGGGUAGCCAAGCGGCCUAAGGCAACGGUCUGUAAAACCGUGUAUCGGUGGUUCGAAUCCACCCCCUGGGACCA